RNAcentral lists this long non-coding RNA (211 nucleotides) under Prunus persica (peach). RNAcentral describes it as "long non-coding RNA (PPER_LNC000846)". The record is from RNAcentral. Lineage: Eukaryota; Viridiplantae; Streptophyta; Magnoliopsida; Rosales; Rosaceae.
AAACUUAUAACUUCUUUUAAUUUUGAGAAAAAUGUGACAAGACCUACCCCGAAUUGCUCAGAAUCCAUGACAAACCAUGUGGUUUUUUCGACAUCUAUUCGAUGACGGGCCUACUUACUAACAAUAUCCUCUUUUAUAAAAACACAGGAAGAGAGGGUCGAGACUCUUUGCCGAAAUUUCGGCAGAGUCUCCCCUGAAAAACGGACUUUUC